This is an RNA transcript of Psammomys obesus (fat sand rat), 712 nucleotides long. It is a transcript of the gene named thyroxine-binding globulin-like, with no coding region annotated. The record is from RefSeq and is a predicted model, not a curated record. The transcript has 3 exons. Lineage: Eukaryota; Metazoa; Chordata; Mammalia; Rodentia; Muridae.
GACAGGAAGAACUGUUUUAAAUGAAGGAUAUAUGUAGAAGCCAAAAUUAUCUAAAGUUUUACCCAGAGUACUAACCUUAUUUUUUAAGUUUUUUUUUUUUUCCACGUGGCCUUGGUUUUGUGCAUCAGCUUUGUAAAUGUCAUCCUAGGGUUCAUGUCAUGGUUAAUUUGUAACUAAGAAUGCUCUAGUUUUGCAAUCGAGGGCAUUCUAUAAAGAUGUAAAGGUGUUGCUAUCUGAGAGAUGCAAGUGGCUUCUUGGGCGUGUGCUGAGACGUGUCACUGUCCUUUAGCAAAAAGAGAGACUACCACCCAUAUUUCUUGCCAAACACUCCAUCAAAUACUUUCUUUGGUUUUAUAAAACAAGAGUGAACUAGAAUUGCAGAUGGGAAAUGCAGUUUUCAUGGGGGAGCAGCUGAAACCACUGGCAAUGUUUUUGGAUGAUGUCAAGACCCUCUAUGAAACAGAAGUCUUUUCUGCUGAUUUCUCCAAUGUUUCUGCAGCUCAGCAGGAAAUCAAUAGUUGUGUAGAGAAGCAAACCAAAGGGAAAAUUGUAGGCUUAAUUCAAGACCUCAAGCUGAAUGCUAUUAUGAUUCUGGUGAACUACAUUCACUUCAAAGGUAAGGCAUCAAGAUUAACUUCCAGUCUAGUAUUCAGAUAGAGAACUGGGGAGAGUUUAUGGUCUCUUUAUCAUUGGGAUCAGUAGCUGUCCCUCA